UACGGAGGAUGCGAGCGUUAUCCGGAUUUAUUGGGUUUAAAGGGUGCGCAGGCGGCUGGUCAAGUCAGUGGUCAAAUGUCCAUGCUCAACGUGGUCAUGCCAUUGAAACUGGUCUGGCUGGAGUGCGUCGGACGGCUGCGGAAUGCGUGGUGUAGCGGUGAAAUGCAUAGAUAUCACGCAGAACUCCGAUUGCGAAGGCAGCAGCCGACGUCGCUACUGACGCUCAUGCACGAAAGCGUGGGUAUCGAAC
RNAcentral lists this ribosomal RNA (250 nucleotides) under uncultured prokaryote. RNAcentral's name for it is "partial 16S ribosomal RNA". It matches the Rfam family "Bacterial small subunit ribosomal RNA", at positions 524 to 773 of the family's 1533-position model. The record is from RNAcentral.